Molecule: long non-coding RNA, 1280 nt
Organism: Lytechinus variegatus (green sea urchin)
Lineage: Eukaryota; Metazoa; Echinodermata; Echinoidea; Temnopleuroida; Toxopneustidae
Exons: 3
Source: RefSeq, a predicted model, not a curated record
AUAAUGUGGUAAAUUGAAUUUUAUUGCAAAAUCAUUUUUUUAGCGGAGACACCAUACGAGAAUUUAAAGCGAAAGUGUAUUUCUUUUUGGUCGAUAUGUUCCGUUGGUUACUCACCUGUUACGUAACGUCAAUGAUGUUAUUACUCAAAGAAGUGAAAGUAGUUCCUCAGAUUUAUAGCUGAUUAUUCUCAUAAAUUCAUGAUGUGAAUGAUGUUUAUGUUAAAUUCAUAGUUUUCAUUAUACUUUUCAUUUAUACUGAAUCUAGUGAUAUGUCAUAAAUAUCUGUGAUGUUGUGGAAGGAUAUUUACAUCAGAUAGCGUUCAAGUGUAGGUGGCGCGAAAGAAUAAGCGUUUAUGUUGUUACGACGGUAGGAUAAAUCAGAAAGCGAUUUGUGACGACAGUGUACGUUAGGGGUACUAUGUUCGUUCUUCCAAGUCAAGUUCGACAAGGAGGCAUGGAAUUUCAUUUGACGUACUACCAUGUAUGAGUGAUGCCGAGUGAGGUCUCCAGAGGGUGAUUGGUGGAUGUACCCUUGUUUUCUCUUGGCCUAUAGUAGGGGGUUUGUUUUCCCUGUUUUGCAUGAUCCACCGGCUGUCAAUAAAUGGCUGACCCACCCCUACUUCUUGUCUAUGGUUCUAUGGUUUUCCUGACUGAGUACCCAACCCCCAACCCAUACUACCACCCAAGCCCAGUUUACUACAAUGGUGUCAGAAGUGGGAUCACCGGUUUGAGAUUGAUGCAACCCCCUACUACGUCAGAGGACGCCAGCAGGUCAAGAGGAUAAGAAGACGCAAUUAGAUAUAAGAUAUAUUAAGGUUGAAAGGUAAUUUGGUUGAAAUAAUUGAAACAAGUUAAGAAAUAGUAACUAUAUUCUGUAAGAAGUUGUAUUGUUUCAGAAUUGUCAUAGAUUUCUUUCCCCAAAUAAACCAGCAGGAUGCCUGGAGGUAAUGUUGGGACUGGGGCUGGUGCGACCCCUAGCACUAGCCUCGAAGACAUGAUUGCUUCUAUGACUGGCGCGUUUCGAAGUAUGUCUAUGGCUAGGUCAAUGCCCUCGAUGAAGUUGCCUAAGUUUAAGGGUACUCCACAGAAGCCUGGUGAUUUGACUGUACGUGAAUGGUUUGAUGAAUUCGAUGAAUACUGCCAAUAUUACCAGUUAUCGGAGAGAGAGAAAGCACAAGUUCUUGUGACUCAUCUAAGUGGUCCUGCCAAGGAUGAAAUCAUGUGUAGGGAGGCAAGCCUUCGUGAGGAUCCGACCGGCCUGAGAAGGGUUCUGAUGAAUC